Molecule: non-coding RNA, 67 nt
Organism: Sarcophilus harrisii (Tasmanian devil)
Lineage: Eukaryota; Metazoa; Chordata; Mammalia; Dasyuromorphia; Dasyuridae
Source: Rfam
CUGUGGUGCAUUGUAGUUGCAUUGCACGUCAUGUCGGGCUGUGCAAUGUUCCCACAGUGCAUCCCAG